UGCAGGUUGACGGGGGAAAGGGUUUCUUCCCAAAAAUGCAAACCAAGUUCCCAUGGACUGAGUCCUCCCCCAAAACAUACAGAGGUGGAGAUGAAUUCGAGGCGAGAUAGGCAGAUCUGGCUGUAAAUAAUCACUGCAUCCACUUAAGCUGCCUUCCUCUGCUCUCUCCUCCCGCCCCCCACUCCCGCCUAAACCAGAUGUAGCUGAACGGGAAUCCUCUUCGCAAAUAUGGGUUACAAGCGUCUCCUAGCGGCCAUAGGAGCUCAGUGCAUGCAGGUUGCUGCUCGCAGGAGUCCUGAAAGAUAAGACCCUUCUUUACAGCCUCUGCUUCUUUCUCUUGAUUUUCAAGACCUAUGAAGAGGAUCAUCCAGCCAUUUGAGAAAGAAAAUUGGCGAUACGCUUUCGGAAGAAGUCUCUCUGUGACCCCAAGUCUCCACUGCUUUUCUCCGGCCGGAGCCGAACCACUGCACGGACCUUAUCCUAAGGAAAAUAUAUUUUGAUGAAUGGAAAUGGCAAUAAAUGGAAAGAACAGAACCUAAAGGAAAAUAUCUCUGCUUCUUUGAUGAUGGAUGGACAUCAUAAUGAUGGGGUUACUGAACCUAGCCAAUUAGUUCAACAGUGAUUAAAAGGGUUUAAAAAAAAUAAGUAAACUGAUCUUACAACUUUUAAAAAUAAGAUACACUUUUCUUUCCCUAUUCAUCCUGAAAUUGAGAGAUUGAGUACUUGUGUGGUGGCUUGUAUUCUUAAAAAAAGUGAAUGAUUAAAUUUGCAUGACACUCAUGUCAGCAGAAAAAAAAGAAGGCAAACACAAAUCAGAAGAAAAUUGAUGAGAAAUAACCAAAGAUUGGACAUGGAAAGCUGAUUGUGGCUUUGUGGUAGUUCAGCGUGAUGUUUCUUUCUGCUAUUUGGAUGAACCAUAUCUAUAAAUCUUCCUUAAUGGUUAAAGAAAAAAGAUAUGUUUUGUAUGAUUUUGGUAAAAUUCCUAAUUAUUUAGAAAUAUGGAAAGAUAGAACCAAGGUAGAGCUCAUUUAAAGAUGAAUGUGAACUUAAAGAUCACCUAACUAAAUUUCUUCAUUUUACAGAUGACAAAAGUCAGGCCCAGAAAUGAAAAGUGAAUUGUCUAGGGUUACACAGUUUCUUUUAUUCACUAAGGCCCUCCCCCUUCACAUAGAAGAUGAAAUAGAAGCAGUGUGAUCAGCAAUAACCUCAGUUUCCUCUUCUUAAAAGCAAGGAGAUGACCCAGAGGAAUCCUCAGGCUCUUCCAGUUUCACACCUGUAAUUGUGUGAAGAAGGGUUCACAGUCUGAACACUGGACAGAAUGCUGAUCCUGGAGUCAGAAAGACCUGCCACAAGCUAUGUGACCCUGGACAAAUCAUUUAACCUCUCUGAGACUCAGUUUUUUCAAAUAUAAGAUGGGGGCAAUGCUAACAUCUCCCAAACAGGAUUAUUGUGAAGCUGAGACGAAAAUGUAUUAGAAGUAGUUUGCAAAGCUUAAAGAGCUAUUGAAAUGUCAUUUAUCAUCAUCCUUACUUUAGUGGCAUAGUGCAUAUAAUGUUGGACCUGGAGUUAGGGACACUUGAAAUCAAAUCCUGUCUCAGAUAUUUAUUCAGACAUUUACAAUUACACAUUAUUUUGAAAGAAAAAUCCUACCAUCAGUAUCAUACUAAAGAUUUAUACAUUUGUUCAUCCAUUCCAAAGUGGCAUUAGGUGGAACUUGAUGGUAAAGUGUUAAUAAUAUUAUUGUAAAAUAGUUAUGGAUUGUAUAUUUGUGGUAUGAAGUAGCAAAAUAUGUUCGAGUAAUAAAAAUAACGUCACAGUAAUGUGGAUUGUACCUGUG
Non-coding RNA from Phascolarctos cinereus (koala), 1837 nucleotides. Lineage: Eukaryota; Metazoa; Chordata; Mammalia; Diprotodontia; Phascolarctidae. The record is from RefSeq and is a predicted model, not a curated record.